RNAcentral lists this ribosomal RNA (432 nucleotides) under uncultured bacterium. Its description in RNAcentral is "bacterial SSU rRNA". It matches the Rfam family "Bacterial small subunit ribosomal RNA", at positions 355 to 796 of the family's 1533-position model. The record is from RNAcentral.
UCGAGAAUCUUCGGCAAUGGGCGCAAGCCUGACCGAGCGACGCCGCGUGGAGGACGAAGGCCUUCGGGUUGUAAACUCCUGUCGAGGGGGAGGAAGCCGCAAGGUUGACCGAUCCCUGGAGGAAGCACGGGCUAAGUUCGUGCCAGCAGCCGCGGUAAGACGAACCGUGCGAACGUUAUUCGGAAUCACUGGGCUUAAAGCGCGUGUAGGCGGGCCGGCACGUCGGUCGCUGAAAUCCCCCGGCUCAACCGGGGAAGGGGCGCCGAUACGACCGGCCUGGAGGGGGGUAGGGGGCGCUGGAACUCACGGUGGAGCGGUGAAAUGCGUUGAGAUCGUGAGGAACGCCCGCGGCGAAAGCGAGCGCCUGGACCCUUUCUGACGCUGAGACGCGAAAGCCAGGGGAGCGAACGGGAUUAGAUACCCCCGUAGUCC